CCUGCACCACCAGCUGGGAUCUCAGUGCUUCCUUUUCUGUCCUCCUCCAGGAUGGGGUCCACCGUCAUCCUCACCCUCUUCCUGGCUGUUCUCCAAGGUGUCUCUGCUGAGGUGCAGCUGGUGCAGUCUGCAGCAGAGGUGAAAAGGCCCGGGGAGUCUCUGAGGCUCUCCUGUAGGACUUAUGGAUACAGCUUUACCAGCUACUGGAUCCACUGGCUGCGCCAGAUGCCCGGGAAAGAACUGGAGUGGAUGGGGAGCAUCUAUCCUGAGAACUCUGAUACCAUAUACAACCCGUCCUUCCAAGGCCACAUCACCAUCUCAGCCGACAGCUCCACCAGCACCGUCUACCUGCAGUGGAGCAGCCUGACGGCCUCGGACUCCGCCAUGUAUUAUUGUGCAAGAGGGACCAUCUAAAACCCUCCAUGGUGCAGGUGCAGAGUGAGGUGCCAGAGACACCCUCCCCAGGGACCUCUCUAUUCAUCCGGGGAGGAAACACUGGCUGUCUGUGUCCUCAGGAGCCAGAAACAGAGAACAACAUGGGAGGGUUCCCAGCCCCUAAGGUAACUGGAUGGGAGAACUGACCAAGGGAGAUGAAUUCUCUGAGGGGGCUCUUGUGUGUUCUACAAGGUUGUUCAUGGUGUAUAUUACAUGGUUAACAUCCAAAGGCUGUCUAAUAGGCACCUCUUCAAUAUGAUAGCCUUUUAAUUAGUGAAAAUUUAACACAGUUCAUCAUUGCUUGCUUGCCUUCCUCCUUCCUAUCCACUCUCACUCCCUCCUUCUUUUAUUUUCUACUUACUUUUCGAAAAUCAUUUAAUCCCUUUUUGUACUAUUACUCGGUUCUCUUGCUUUUUUUUUUUGUUUUCCUUUUAACAAUAUGCACUGAAUAAUUCAUCUUUGUGCAAAUUUGUAAGUAUUUCGAUAUAACAAAGACUUCCUUCAUAAGUAAAUUUCCUGUGAGUAAUCUUGCAGCUAUUUUAGAACCUGUUUGAUUAAGGAUACAUUAAAAUAAAUACAUAAAUUUUUAAA
Rhinopithecus roxellana (golden snub-nosed monkey) is the source of this 1026-nucleotide non-coding RNA. Lineage: Eukaryota; Metazoa; Chordata; Mammalia; Primates; Cercopithecidae. The record is from the annotation of a RefSeq genome assembly.